Non-coding RNA from Vicia faba (fava bean), 219 nucleotides. NCBI's taxonomy places the organism in Eukaryota, Viridiplantae, Streptophyta, Magnoliopsida, Fabales, Fabaceae. The record is from the annotation of a GenBank genome assembly.
AUGGAAAGAGAUGGAAUCAGAAUCUACCGGCAGAGGGAUGUGAUAAGUUGGUGGUCUGGAGGACUUAUGGUACACCAGUUGAUCUUUGUGCUUGUGGAAACUGAUUACGAAGAUGUUAGAAAGCCUGUUUCAGAAUACUUUGGUAUUAGUGGGACUGCUCCAAAAGUACCUGCAUACACCGGAAACAAUGAUAUGCACUUAAUCUUUGGGCUCUAUUAA